RNAcentral lists this ribosomal RNA (2423 nucleotides) under groundwater metagenome. RNAcentral describes it as "bacterial LSU rRNA". It matches the Rfam family "Bacterial large subunit ribosomal RNA", at positions 3 to 2450 of the family's 2925-position model. The record is from RNAcentral.
UCAAGCUAUUAAGUGCGCACGGGGGAUGCCUAGGCGUCGAGAGGCGAUGAAGGACGUGGUAGGCUGCGAUAAGCCUCGGGGAGCUGUCAAACAAGCGUUGAUCCGGGGAUUUCCGAAUCGGGAAACCGGGCGUCACUGCGCAAGCAGAUGGCGUCAUCCGUAAGUGAAUUCAUAGCUUACGGAAGCGAACCCAGGGAAGUGAAACAUCUCAGUACCUGGAGGAAAAGAAAUCAACCGAGACUCCGUUAGUAGCGGCGAGCGAAGACGGAUCUAGCCCAAACCGUGGUGCUUGCACCGCGGGGUUGCGGGCCCUUGAGGAGUUACAAAGGCGUCGUUAGCUGAAGGGCUUGGAAAGGUCCAGCAUAGAAGGUGACACUCCUGUAAGCGAAAACGACUGCCCUCCUUCGAGAGGGUACCCAGAGUAGCAUAGAGCUCGUGGAACUCUGUGUGAAGCAGGGGGGACCACCCUCCAAGGCUAAGUACUACUCGACGACCGAUAGUGAACAAGUAAGGCGACUGAAAGGUGAAAAGAACCCCUUCUAGGGGAGUUAAAAGAACCUGAAACCGUGCGCUUACAAGCUGUGGGAGCACGAUACCCGCUUGCGGGAACGUGUGACCGCGUGCCUUUUGCAUAAUGAACCGGCGAGUUACGGUUUACAGCAAGGUUAAUCCGCUACGCGGAGGAGCCGAAGCGAAAGCGAGUCUGAAUAGGGCGACAAGUUGUAGGCCGUAGACCCGAAACCGAGUGAUCUACUCAUGGCCAGACUGAAGUGACCGUAAAAGGUCGCGGAGGGUCGAACGGGUUAACGUUGAAAAGUUAUCCGAUGAGCUGUGAGGAGGAGUAAAAGUCUAAUCAAACUCGGAGAUAUCUGGUUCUCCCCGAAAUAGCUUUUGGGCUAGCCUCGGGAAACUACGUCAUGGGGGUAGAGCUACUGAAUGAGACGAGGGUCCUACCCGGAUCCCUCCCUCAACCAAACUCCGAAUACCAUGACGACUACCCCGGGAGUCAGUCUGUGGGGGAUAAACUUCAUGGACAAGAGGGAAACAGCCCGGAUCGUCGGCUAAGGUCCCUAAUCUAUGCUAAGUGCGUAAGGAAGUCCUUGUUCUGAGACAGCGGGGAUGUUGGCUUAGAAGCAGCCACCAUUUAAAAAGUGCGUAAUAGCUUACCCAUCGAGAACUUGGGCGCCGAUAAUGAACGGGACUAAGCAUAGUACCGAAGCCACGGGAUUCAGAGGCCUUCGGGCUUCUGAUUCGGUAGGGGAGCGUUGAUGGGUAGAUACAGGCCAUACCGUAAGGAGUGGUUGCGGACCCAUCAAGUGAUAAUGCCGGUAUGAGUAACGAUAAACAGGGUGAAAAUCCCUGUCGCCGCAAGCCUAAGGUUUCCUGGGGAAGGUAAAUCCGCCCAGGGUUAGGCGGUCCCUAAGACGAGGCCGAAAGGCGUAGUCGAUGGACAGCAGGUUAAUAUUCCUGCCCUCCGUAAGACCUAUCCACGCGUGCGUUUUUCCAAGGCGCAGCCCACGAUAAGUAGCGAGGGUUGCCGAGAGGCCGAGGCCGAUUUGUUGCCGAAGUGCGUGGAGGAAGAGCCGAGAAAAGCGUGUGGGAUUUAUUUUGCGGAUCCGUACUAAAACUGACACAGGUAGGCGAGGCGCGUAGCCUCAGGCGCUCGAGAGAACCGUCCUUAAGGAACUAGGCAAUUUGACCCCGUAACUUCGGGAAAAGGGGUCCCUACCCGCUUCGGCGGGAGGGCGCAGAGAAUCGGCUCUGGCGACUGUUUAUCAAAAACACAGGUCUCUGCUAACACGUAUAGUGGACGUAUAGAGACUGACGCCUGCUCGGUGUGGGAAUGUUAAGGAAGUCGGUCAGGGGCAACCUAAAGCUGGCAACCGAAGCACCCAUAAACGGCGGCCCUAACUAUGAGGGUCCUAAGGUAGCGAAAUUCCUUGUCGGGUAAGUUCCGACGCGCAUGAAUGGCGUAACGACUGGAGCACUGUCUCAAGGACGGACUCGGUGAAAUUGUACUUGUGGUGAAGAUACCACAUACCCGCGGCAAGACGGAAAGACCCCGUGAACCUUUACUGUAGCCUGAUAUUGGUCACAGUCAACAUAUGCGUAGGAUAGGUGGGAGGCGACGAUCCGGUGGUUCCGGCCAUCGGUUAGCCAUCCUUGAAAUACCACCCUUGUGUUGUUUGUUCCCUAACCCCAUACCGUGAAUCCGGGUGGGGGACAGUGUUAGGUGGGCAGUUUGACUGGGGCGGUCUCCUCCUAAAGAGUAACGGAGGAGUGCAAUGGUCGGCUCAACGCGGUUGGCAAUCGCGUGUCGAGUGCAAAGGCAUAAGCCGGCUUAACUGCGAGACCCGCACGUCAAGCAGAUACGAAAGUAGGUCUUAGUGAUCCGGUAAUCCCGUGUGGAAGGGUUAUCGCUC